This 253-nucleotide ribosomal RNA is filed under the name uncultured bacterium. RNAcentral describes it as "partial 16S ribosomal RNA". It matches the Rfam family "Bacterial small subunit ribosomal RNA", at positions 524 to 776 of the family's 1533-position model. The record is from RNAcentral.
UACGAAGGGGGCGAGCGUUGUUCGGAUUUACUGGGCGUAAAGGGCGCGCAGGCGGCUUUGUUUGUCAGGCGUGAAAGCCCCGGGCUUAACCUGGGAACUGCGUUUGAUACGGCAGGGCUAGAGUUCGGGAGAGGAGAGUGGAAUUCCCAGUGUAGAGGUGAAAUUCGUAGAUAUUCGCAAGAACACCAGUGGCGAAGGCGGCUCACUGGCCCGAUACUGACGCUGAGGCACGAAAGCGUGGGGAGCAAACAGG